GAUGAACGCUGGCGGCGUGCCUAAUACAUGCAAGUCGAGCGAACAGACGAGGAGCUUGCUCCGCUGACGUUAGCCGCGCACGGGUGUGUAACGCGUGGAUACCCUACCUAUCAGACUGGGAUAACUUCGAGACACCGGAGCAAAUCCCGGAUAAUCUAUUGCACCGCGUGGGUCAAUAGUGAAAGACGGUUUUGCUGGCUGUUAUAGCUGGAUCCGGGCCGCAUUAGUUGGUUGGGAAGGUAACGGCUUACCAAGGCAACGCUGCGUAGCCGACGUGAGGGGGUGUAGGGCCACAGUGAAAGUGAGACACGGCACAGGCACCGACGUGAGGCAGCAGUAGGGAAUGUUCCGCAAUGGGCGAAAGCCUGACGGAGGAACGGAGCGCGAGUGAAGAAGGUCUGCGUAUCGUAAAACGCUGUUAGGGGUGAAGAACAAAUGUGCAAGUAACGAAGCACGUCUGGACGGUAUCGAUUCAGAAAGCCACGGCAAACUACGU
Molecule: ribosomal RNA, 496 nt
Filed under: uncultured bacterium
Lineage: Bacteria
Description: partial 16S ribosomal RNA
Rfam family: Bacterial small subunit ribosomal RNA
Source: RNAcentral